AUGGCUAGAAGGAGGUACGACUCCGAGUGGGAGGAAAUGAAGCUUAUCAAUGGCUACGCCAUGCUUCUGGCGUACAUGUGGUUCGCCUUCAGAGGCAUAGGGUACCUGGUGGUCACAUGGACCACGGUGGUUCUUCUCGGCGGAUUCGUCUCCAACAUCGACAAGGACGAUUUCUGGCGUCUCACGCUGAUUACCCUUGUGCAGAUUCUCUGCAUCAAUGUUUCAUUCGGUGAAAGGAUGACUUCUGCUGCUAAUCUGGUCUGGAGCCUGAGGGCGGUGAAAAUUUUAGUGACGCCCAACCGGCAGCUGGCUGAUAAUGCAUAUGGUAAUCGCCAGGUACUGGCAGUCGUUAGGAAAGUUAUUGCAGCGGUGGUAGUGCUGGUUCACGCUGUGGUAUUGUCCUUCUACCUGAAGUUUCUGCAGUUGCUCAUGAUCUGUGGGCUGUUCAUCACCAUCUGGAUAUCGGUACGCGGUCUCAUGGACCACGACCAUUACAGCGACAAGCCUGAGGAGAGAACAAACAUGGAUCCAGCGCAUACUAUCUUUUACACCAUGUGUGUGGUCCAGGGUGCAUUCUUCCUUUAUAGAAACAUCUUGUUGCUUUGGUUGAGGAGGGUAGUGAAACAAGUGAGUGUCACACCCGCACCUACAAGUGCCAGGGUGGACUGCAUCGACGAAUAG
Molecule: ribosomal RNA, 681 nt
Filed under: Triticum aestivum (bread wheat)
Lineage: Eukaryota; Viridiplantae; Streptophyta; Magnoliopsida; Poales; Poaceae
Description: partial small subunit ribosomal RNA
Source: RNAcentral